UACGUAGGGUGCAAGCGUUGUCCGGAAUUAUUGGGCGUAAAGAGCUCGUAGGCGGUCUGUUGCGUCGGCUGUGAAAACCCGAGGCUCAACCUCGGGCCUGCAGCCGAUACGGGCAGACUAGAGUUCGGCAGGGGAGACUGGAAUUCCUGGUGUAGCGGUGAAAUGCGCAGAUAUCAGGAGGAACACCGGUGGCGAAGGCGGGGUCUCUGGGGCCGAUAACUGACGC
Molecule: ribosomal RNA, 226 nt
Filed under: uncultured bacterium
Lineage: Bacteria
Description: partial 16S ribosomal RNA
Rfam family: Bacterial small subunit ribosomal RNA
Source: RNAcentral